GUGAAAGUACGCAAACCUGACUGACCCCUCUAAGUCCUGCACAAACAUCCUGUUCCGUCCACCUGACGGUCCCCAACAGCCGUGGCUCCACAGCUGUCCGUAUUUCUCAUUGGUCCUCGCUGAAGGCCGGGGACACGGGCAGUCCAACCUCGGGAAGCCUUGUGACCCAUCACAUCAUCCCCCGGGGGUGGGGCAGAGACUGCUCCUUCAAGAAUAUAUAGGAGACCUCCCUGCACUCACUCCCAAACUGAGUUCCCUGGUUGGUGAAGCAUCCGCGUCUCAACCAUGAAGCUGGUAAUCGUCCUUGUUCUGGUUACCCUUCCUCUCUGCUGCUAUGCGGGUUCUGGAUGCUCAGAGCUUCAAAAUAUGCUAACUCUGGCAAUCAAUGGAACCAAGGAUGAACUAUUUAACGCAGGGGAAAAAUACAUUACUACUGACUCGAUGAGAAUUGCUAUUUCUAAAGCAAAGGACUGCUUUUUACAACAACCAGCACAAAACUUGGACCUCACUCUAGAUUUAAUGAAUCUCAUCUACAACAGUCAGAAAUGUUCCGCUUAUUAAUUCCUUGAACUUCCUAGCUUCGAGAAAUUGCCACGGACUUACCGCCUGUGAACAAAGACCGAAUAUCUGAAAAUUUUCAAAUAUUUCUUCCUGCCAUCUACAGAUCAUUUCCACCCCUGCCUCUCUCAGUUCACAAAUCACUCUCUUUCAAUGCAGAGGCUUAGCUGAUGUAGACUAACCCACGUUUCUCUUUGCAAUAAAGUGAAUGCAACAACCCCCUCAUUCUCAUCAGUCUCCUUCUCUCUCAUGGACCGAAAUGAUGAAGGGCCAGAGAGCCAGACCGGAUACUGGACGUACGUCACUGCUCUUUCAGUGAAAGGGAAAUAGAAGGUGCGCCGUCCCCUGAUGUUGUCCAGAGGGCCGGGACCCUCAGUCCAAUUCUCUCCUUCACAU
This 954-nucleotide long non-coding RNA is filed under the name Ornithorhynchus anatinus (platypus). RNAcentral describes it as "lncRNA (ENSOANG00000041118.1)". Lineage: Eukaryota; Metazoa; Chordata; Mammalia; Monotremata; Ornithorhynchidae. The record is from RNAcentral.